GGCUCGGUGGCGGAGCGGCAACGCAGGGGUCGUGCAAGACCUAAUAGCCAGGUUCGAAUCCUGGCCGAGCCU
This 72-nucleotide transfer RNA is filed under the name Pseudorhodoplanes sinuspersici. RNAcentral describes it as "tRNA-Cys". It matches the Rfam family "tRNA". From Rfam's summary of the family: Transfer RNA (tRNA) molecules are approximately 80 nucleotides in length. Their secondary structure includes four short double-helical elements and three loops (D, anti-codon, and T loops). Further hydrogen bonds mediate the characteristic L-shaped molecular structure. tRNAs have two regions of fundamental functional importance: the anti-codon, which is responsible for specific mRNA codon recognition, and the 3' end, to which the tRNAs corresponding amino acid is attached (by aminoacyl-tRNA synthetases). tRNAs cope with the degeneracy of the genetic code in two manners: having more than one tRNA (with a specific anti-codon) for a particular amino acid; and 'wobble' base-pairing, i.e. permitting non-standard base-pairing at the 3rd anti-codon position. Lineage: Bacteria; Pseudomonadati; Pseudomonadota; Alphaproteobacteria; Hyphomicrobiales. The record is from RNAcentral.